RNAcentral lists this ribosomal RNA (501 nucleotides) under uncultured Glomeromycotina. RNAcentral describes it as "partial small subunit ribosomal RNA". It matches the Rfam family "Eukaryotic small subunit ribosomal RNA", at positions 591 to 1092 of the family's 1831-position model. Lineage: Eukaryota; Fungi; Glomeromycota. The record is from RNAcentral.
CCAAUAGCGUAUAUUAAAGUUGUUGCAGUUAAAAAGCUCGUAGUUGAAUUUCGGGAUCAAUAUAUCGGUCGUGCCAUUGGUACGUACUGGUAUCAUUGGUUUCUCCUUUCUGACGAACCAUGAUGUCAUUAAUUUGGUGUUAUGGGAAGUUAGGACUGUUACUUUGAAAAAAUUAGAGUGUUUAAAGCAGGCUUUAGCUUGAAUACAUUAGCAUGGAAUAAUGAAAUAGGACGUUCGAACCUAUUUUGUUGGUUUCUAGGAUCAACGUAAUGAUUAAUAGGGAUAGUUGGGGGCAUUAGUAUUCAAUUGUCAGAGGGGAAAUUCUUGGAUUUAUUGAAGACUAACUACUGCGAAAGCAUUUGCCAAGGCUGUUUUCAUUAAUCAAGAACGAAAGUUAGGGGAUCGAAGACGAUCAGAUACCGUCGUAGUCUUAACCAUAAACUAUGCCGACUAGGGAUCGGAUGAUGUUAAUUUUUUUAAUGACUCAUUCGGCGCCUUACG